UCCGAGUUGACCCCGGCAGUCUCCCAUGAGUCCCCGGCAUCACCCGCUGGCAACAUGGGACAAGGGUUGCGCUCGUUGCGGGACUUAACCCAACAUCUCACGACACGAGCUGACGACAACCAUGCACCACCUGUACAGGACCCCAAAAGGACCCCCCAUCUCUGGAGGAUUUCCCUGUAUGUCAAGCCUUGGUAAGGUUCUUCGCGUUGCGUCGAAUUAAGCCGCAUGCUCCGCCGCUUGUGCGGGCCCCCGUCAAUUCCUUUGAGUUUUAGCCUUGCGGCCGUACUCCCCAGGCGGGGCGCUUAAUGCGUUAGCUGCGGCACGGAUCCCGUGGAAGGGAACCCACACCUAGCGCCCAACGUUUACGGCGUGGACUAC
This 378-nucleotide unclassified non-coding RNA is filed under the name uncultured Actinomycetes bacterium. RNAcentral's name for it is "uncultured actinobacterium contains 16S-23S intergenic spacer region". Lineage: Bacteria; Bacillati; Actinomycetota; Actinomycetes. The record is from RNAcentral.